RNAcentral lists this unclassified non-coding RNA (317 nucleotides) under uncultured fungus. RNAcentral describes it as "partial contains 5.8S ribosomal RNA and internal transcribed spacer 2". The stretch from base 1 to 133 matches the Rfam family "5.8S ribosomal RNA", at positions 22 to 154 of the family's 154-position model. The record is from RNAcentral. Lineage: Eukaryota; Fungi.
UGGUUCUGGCAUCGAUGAAGAACGCAGCGAAAUGCGAUAAGUAAUGUGAAUUGCAGAAUUCAGUGAAUCAUCGAAUCUUUGAACGCACAUUGCGCCCUCUGGUAUUCCGGGGGGCAUGCCUGUUCGAGCGUCAUUACAACCCUCAAGCUCUGCUUGGUAUUAGGCUUCACCUGCUACAGGCGGGCCUUAAAAUCAGUGGCGGUGCCAUCUGGCUUCAAGCGUAGUAAUAUUUCUCGUUUCGGAGUACCAGUUGUGAACCUGCUAUAAAACCCCAAUUUUUCAAAGGGGAAAAAGGAUCAGGUAGGGAUACCCGCUGA